AGAUUGAACGCUGGCGGCGUGCCUAACACAUGCAAGUCGAGCGGUAACAGGCGUAGCAAUACGUGCUGACGAGCGGCGAACGGGUGAGCAAUGCUUCGGAAUCUGCCCAAUGAUGGGAAUAACCAGUCGAAAGAUUGGCUAAUACCGCAUACGCCCGUUCGGGGAAAGCGGGGCUCGUAAGACCUCGCGUCGAGUGGAUGAGCCGAAGUCGGAUUAGCUAGUUGGUAGGUAACGCCUACCGAAGGCGACGAUCCGUAGCUGUCUGAGAGGACGACC
Molecule: ribosomal RNA, 276 nt
Filed under: uncultured soil bacterium
Lineage: Bacteria
Description: partial 16S ribosomal RNA
Rfam family: Bacterial small subunit ribosomal RNA
Source: RNAcentral